RNAcentral lists this microRNA precursor (192 nucleotides) under Oryza rufipogon (brownbeard rice). RNAcentral describes it as "MIR812 microRNA precursor family". It matches the Rfam family "MIR812 microRNA precursor family". The record is from Rfam by way of RNAcentral. Lineage: Eukaryota; Viridiplantae; Streptophyta; Magnoliopsida; Poales; Poaceae.
CCUAAUUUCCGUGUCCAACUUUUGACCGUCCAUCUUAUUUGAAAAAAUUAUAAAAAAAUUAAAAAGACAAGUUACGCAUAAAAUAUUAAUCAUGUUUUAUCAUCUAACAACAAUAAAAAUUCAAAUUAUAAAAAAAUUUCAUAUAAGACGGACAGUCAAAGUUGGACACGGAAAUAUAGAGUUUGCCUUUUU